CAUUGACACUGUCACUUAAUACAACAGAGGAUAUUUGCUUCUCUGUUUCAGCAUUUCCACAAGAAGAUACAGGCUCUGAGAGUGGCGUAGCAGCUGCAUCACUUGUUGCUGCUGAUUGUGGUAACAUUUGCUCAUCAACAGAAGUAGUGUUGCUAGUGACAGCAGUGUCGUCUUGCCCGUCUUUGUUGCUGUCACCAUUAUUAGGGUUGUUAGUACCUGUCUGCUGCACUGGUGUAAAAAAUGCUGUUACCUUUGUCAAGGACUCUAUCAAUUGUCUGUUCUCCUCCCGUUUUUUCCAUUUUUCUGCACCACUUGGGUAACUCCGUUUCAUGGUUGUAGUAGUACGUCUCCCGCUCCUUAAUCAAACUGCAGUGAAUAACCUUCCGCUUUCGUCACACGGAAUGUACCAUUGCAGUGUGUGUUGGGGGCGGCGGGGGGGUGACUAAUACUCUUCAGCAACUGGCGUGGCGUAAUGGCAUUCUAAUGCUGUUUUAGCAAGUGGAUUUUUAAUAAUUUCAGACGUUAGUUGUAAGUGCUUGCUAAAAAUACUUACUGUAGUACGACUUAAGUCAUGGGGCACUGGCAGUUCGGGGCUCUAGGCGCUCGCCUGCUUUUGCCUAAUGGUAGCUCCGCCUCUGAUCUUAUCUUCUUUCCAUCUAUCCAUCCGUCCAUCCAUCCACUGAACUGUUCUACCCUCCUUUAACUUUCAUGUGUUCUGUCCCCCCCAUACUUACAAAAAAGGAAGUUGCAACAUCUUUAGCAUUGCAGUUUCUCUCUCCAACGCCAGUAUUUCCCAGUUUUGUCUGCCUUCCUGUUCAGUUCUCAAGGAAGAAAGUAAGACUUGGCCAGGGGGCGCUAUUUCCCAGCUACACACAACGACUGGAGUCUAUUUGAAUAUCAGGAUUUAGAGCAGGACACACAAACUGUGCUGUUCUACAUUGCAAACUGUGCUGACAAUGUCAGUGUCAACAAACCCGCCCAGGUUUUUCCAAACCAGAAACCCUGGAUGAUGACAGAAGUCCACUCACUCAUCAGGAACCGCCAUACUGUCUUCAGGACAGGGGACUGGGGACAGGGUACAGCACAGGGAGAGAUGACCUGAGGAAGGGCAUCAAAGCUGCCAAGACGGCACAGAAACUGAAAAUGUAGGACCAGUACAAACAUACGUAGUGUACAGAAUGACCAGAAUUAGUGUGAAUUGAGAAGCCUUAUGGCCUGGGGGAAAAAGCUUCCUGAGUCUCUCUGUCCUGGACAUGAGGCAACGGAACCGUCUGCCUGAGUUCAGCCCGCGGAACAGACAGUUUGCGGGGUGUAAGGAGUCCUUAAUUAUCUUGGUACCUCUGGACCUGCACCGUUUAUUGUAGGUGUCCAGCAGGGAGGGCAGAGGAGAUCUGACACGACGCUCGGCCACCCUGAUCACCCUCUGCAGGGCUAUGUGCUCCUUUAGAGAACAGUUCCCAAAACAUACCGUAAUGUUCAUGGUCAAGAUGCUCUCCACAGCAGCUGAGUAGAAGGUUUUUAGGAUCACUGGAGUGACCCUAAAUCUCCUCAGCUGCCUCAGGUGGUACAGCCGCUUCCUCGCUCUGGUGACCAGAGUAUAAACAGCUUCUUUGCUCGCUUUGAGCCACACAGGUCAGACACAGUCACACUGCCCCCCCCCCCAGCCUCCAGCACUCACACACUCACUCUGCAGGAACACCAAGUGAGAUGAGCACUCAGGCAAGUCAACCCGAGGAAAGCAGCUGGUCCUGAGAGAAUCAGGCAAAAUACUCAAAGCAUGUCCUUCCCAGCUCUCUGGUAUCCUCACCAAGAUCUACAAUCUCUCAUUAACCAAACCCACCAUCCCUCCCUGCUUGAGGUCAUCCACCAUCAUCCCUGUCCCAAAAAAGUCUGAUAUAACCUGCCUCAGUUAUUACAGGCCAAUCACUCUCACCUCAGUGGUGAUGAAGUACUUUGAGGAGCUGGUUGCACAUUACAUCAAGGCCAGCCUCCCUCCUUAUAGUUUAAUAUCCAAAGUGCCCAUUGAGUACUGAAGGAACAUGCAGUGUAAUGGCUAUACCAUUUUUUGACUUAAACACAGGGUGAAAUAUGGCCCAUAGUUAUGAGUCCAAAUGAUCAGUGGACGUCUCUCCCUGCGACUGCAAACUGCCUGUAGUCAGACUGAUACACAGGACCUGGUUUCCUUACAGCCAUAAUCAUCUAAGUAAUGGCUCACCGAGAGGCCCAGACCUCGCUCCCCGACCUCUUGCUGGAGUAUCUGGAGGAGCUCGAUGAUGAAGAGCUGAAGAAGUUUAAAUGGAAACUGAGUCACACACAGUAUAAAGAGUUAAAGCCCCUUCCCAGGGGCCUGGUGAAGGGCUUGGAUAGGACAGACCUUGCAGACAAGAUGAUAAGUUCCUACAGUGAAGUUGAUGCUCUCAAUGUCAUGCUUGAAAUCCUGAAGAAUAUGACCCUGAAUGACCUUGCUGAGAGACUGAAGGCAGACCUGCAGAAUUGUAAUCACGCUUUUUAACUUUUCUUAUUUUUCAUAUAAAACCAUAUGUAGCCUUUUUUAGGUAUUGAAAAAGAAAUAUAUUAAAUACAUUAUAUGG
This is a non-coding RNA of Paramormyrops kingsleyae, 2591 nucleotides long. NCBI's taxonomy places the organism in Eukaryota, Metazoa, Chordata, Actinopteri, Osteoglossiformes, Mormyridae. The record is from RefSeq and is a predicted model, not a curated record.